AAAAAAUCCCCCAAAAUCCCCCCAAAAUUACCGCAACCCCCCCAAAAUCCCUCAAAUCCCCCCCACCCCCCCAAAUUUCCCCGAAAUUUCCACAAAAUUCCCCCAAAAUCCCCCCAAAAUCACCCAAAUUUUCCCUCAAAUUCCCCAAAAUUCCCCAUAAUCCCCCAAAUUUCCCCCGGAUUUCCACAAAAUCUUCCCAAAAUCCCCCCAACCCCCCCCCAAAAUCCCCCAAAAUUCCCCAAAAUCCCCCCAAAAUUCCCCAGAUUUCCCCAAAACCCCACAAAUUUUCCCCAAAACCCCCUGAAUUUCCCCCAAAUUUCCCCAAAAUCUCCCCAAAUCCCCUCAAACUUCAUCAAACUCCCUCAAAAUUCCCCAAAAUCCCCCAAAUCCCCCAAAAUUCCCCAAAAUCCCCCCCAAAAUCCCCCCAAUUUUCCCCCAAAUUUCCCCCGAAUUUCCCCAAAAUUCCCCCCAAAAUUCCCCAAAACCACCCAAAUCCCCCACAAAAUCCCCCAAAUUUCCCCAAAAUACCCCCAAAAUGCCCCAAUUUUCUCUAAAAUCCCCCAAAUUUCCCCCGAAUUUCCCCAAAAUUCCCCCCAAAAUUCCCCAAAACCACCCAAACCCCCCCCGAAAUCCCCCCAAAAUCCCCCAAAUCCCCCAAAAUCCCUCAAUUUCCCCCAAACUCCCCCAAAAUUCCCCAAAUUUUCCCCAAAUUUCCCCAAAAUCUUCCCAAAAUCCCCCAAAAUCCCCCCAAAAUUCGCCAAAUUUCCCCCUAAUUUCCCCCAAAUCCCCUCAAACUCCCCCAAAUUUCCCCAAAAUCCCCCAAAUUUCCCCAAAUCCCCCCAAAUUCCCCUCCCCACCUUGCAGUAGCGGCAGUAGCGGCAGACGGAGCCGGGCCGGUACCGCCCUUCGGCCUCACCUUCCUCCUCCUCCUCCUCCUCCUCUUCCUCACUCCCUGUGUUGGGGGAUGGGGUCAGAUGUCCCCAAAAUUCCCCAAAAUUCCCCAAAAUUCCCCCAAAAUCCCCCCAAAUCUCCCAAAAUCCACCCAAAAUCCAUCCAAAAUCCCCCAAAAACCCCCCAAAAAAUCCCACCUUCCUCCUCCUCCUCUUCCUCACUCCCUGCGUUUGGGGGAUGGGCUCAAAUAUCCCCAAAAAUCCCCAAAAUUCCCCCAAAAUUCCCCCAAAAAUCCCCCAAAAAUUCCCGAAAAAAUCCCCAAAAAAUUCCCACCUUCCUCCUCCUCCUCCUCCUCCUCCUCUUCCUCACUCCCUGCGUUCGGGGGAUGGGCUCAAAUAUCCCCAAAAAUCCCAAAAUUCCCCCAAAAUCCCCCAAAAUCCCCCAAAAUCCACCCAAAAAUUCCCAAAAAUUUCCCACCUUCCUCCUCCUCCUCUUCCUCACUCCCUGCAUUUGGGGGAUGGGGUCAAAUGUCCCCAAAAAUCCCCAAAAUUCCCCCAAAAACCCCCAAAAACCCCCCCAAAAAUUCCCACCUUCCUCCUCCUCCUCUUCCUCACUCCCUGCGUUGGGGGGAUGGGCUCAAAUAUCCCCAAAAAUCCCCAAAAUUCCCCCAAAAAUCCACCCAAAUCCACCCCAAAAUCCACCCAAAAUCCCCAAAAUUCCCCCAAAAAAUCCCCAAAAAAAUCCCACCUUCCUCCUCCUCCUCUUCCUCACUCCCUGCGUUCGGGGGAUGGGCUCAAAUAUCCCCAAAAAUCCCCAAAAUUCCCCAAAAUCCACCCAAAAAUUCCCAAAAAAUUCCCACCUUCCUCCUCCUCCUCUUCCUCGGAGCUGUGGCCGCCAUCUUCCUCUUCCUCAUCUUCAUCAUCGUCAUCGCUGCCUUCCUCCUCCUCCUCCUCCUCAGAGCUGGGGGGGCUGCGGCCUUCAUCAUCAUCAUCAUCGUCAUCGUCGUCAUGGUGAUGGUGGCCUUCAUCCACCCGGGCUUGACCUUCAUCAUCAUCGUCAUGGCGAUGGUGACCUUCAUCCACCCUCGGUUGGCCUUCAUCAUCGUCGUCAUGGUGAUGGUGGCCUUCAUCCACCCUCGGUUGACCUUCAUCAUCAUCGUCAUGGUGAUGGUGGCCUUCAUCCACCCUCGGUUGACCUUCAUCAUCAUCGUCAUGGUGACGGUGGCCUUCAUCCACCCUCGGUUGGCCUUCAUCAUCAUCGUCAUGGCGAUGGUGGCCUUCAUCCACCCUCGGUUGACCUUCAUCAUCGUCAUGGUGAUGGUGGCCUUCAUCCACCCGGGCUUGACCUUCAUCAUCAUCGUCAUCAUCGUCAUCCUCAUGGUUGCCAUGGUGAUGAUGAUGAUGGUGGUGACUGGGGGAGCCUUCAUCGCUUUGAUGAUGAGGAAGGUGAUGAAGGUCAGCGGGGGAGCCUUCAUCCCCCUGAGGAUGAUGAUGGAGGGGGUCAGCGGGGGAGCCUUCAUCCCCCUGCUGAGGAUGAUGAAGGUCACUGGGGGAGCCUUCCUCACUCUGCUGAGGAUGAGGAUGAUGAUGAAGGUCCUCCAGGGCCGCCCCCACCCCGAGGAGCAGCAGCAGUAGGAGCCACAGCCUGGCCGGAGCCAUGAGUGACCACUGAGUGACCACUGAGUGACCGCUGGGUGACCACUGACCGCUGAGUGACCACUGACCGCUGGGUGAUCAAUGAGUGAUCGAUGAGUGAUCAAUGAGUGACCACUGACCGCUGAGUGACCACUGACCGCUGAGUGACCACUGACCGCUGAAUGACCACUGACCGCUGAGUGACCGCUGACUGCUGGGUGAUCAAUGAGUGAUCAAUGAGUGACCGCUGAGUGACAGCUGAGUGACCGCUGGGUGAUCAAUGAGUGAUCGAUGAGUGAUCAAUGAGUGACCGCUGAGUGACCACUGAAUGACCAUAGAGUGACCGGUGCCGAAUGACCACGGAGUUACCAGUGCUGAGUGACCAUGGAGUGACCGCUGGGUGACCGCUGACUGACCACAAAGUGACUGCUGGGUGACCGCUGAGUGACCAGCACAAAGUGACCGGUGGGUGACCACGGAGAGAUCACAGAGAGACCUCAGAGUGACCACAGAGUGACCGCUGAGUGACCAUGGAGUGACCAGUGCUGAGGACUGCUGAGUGACCACGGAGAGACUUCAGAGUGACAUCAGAGUGACCACGGAGUGACCACUGAGAGACCUCGGAGUGACCGCUGGGUGACCAGUGCUGAAUGACCACGGAGUGACCUCGGAGUGACUUCAGAGUGACCGCUGAGUGACCGAUGGGUGACCUCAGAGUAACUGCUGAGUGACCGCUGAGUGACCCCUGUGAGACCGUUGACUGACCGCUGGGUGACCACUGAGUGACCGCUGCUGAAUGACCACAGAGUGACCGCUGAGAGACCUCGGAGUGACUGAUGCUGAAUGACCACGGAGUGACCAGUGCUGAGUGACCGCUGAGUGACCGCUGGGUUACCAGUGCUGAAUGACCAUGGAGUGACCACUGAGAGACCGCUGAGUGACCGCUGAGUGACCAGUGCUGAAUGACCACGGAGUGACCGCUGAGUGACUGGUGCUGAAUGACCGCUGAGUGACCAGUGAUGAAUGACCUCAGAGUGACAUCAGAAUGACCACGGAGUGACCACGGAGUGACCGCUGAGUAACCGCUGAGUGACCUCUGAGUGACCGGUGCUGAGUGACCUCAGAAUGACGUCAGAAUGACCACGGAGUGACCGAUGAGUGACCGGUGCUGAAUGACCACGGAGUGACCAGUGACAAAUGACCACGGAAUGACCACUGAGUGACCGGUGCUGAGUGACCGCUGAGUGACCGCUGAGUGACCGCUGGGUGACCAGUGACGAAUGACCACGGAGUGACCACUGAGAGACCUCGGAGUGACCGGUGCUGAAUGACCACGGAAUGACCACAGAGUGACCGCAGAGUGACCUCGGAGUGACCGCUGAGAGACCACAGAGUGACCACUGACCACGGAGUGACCGAUGAGUGACCGCUGAGAGACCAAUGAGUGACCGCUGAGUGACCGCUGACCGCUGAGUGACCACUGAGUGACCAGAACAGAGUGACCAGCACCGAGUGACCACAGAGUGACCACAGAGUGACCACGGAGUGACCAGCACAAAGUGACCAGCACCGAGUGACCGCCGAGUGACCACAGAGUGACCACAGAGUGACCACAGAGUGACCACAGCAGCUGCGCCCCUCCCCCACCGCGGGACCCAAAAAUAGACACGGGGGGGGGAGGGGAAAUCGAGGAGAAAAACCCAAAAAUUCAACAUUUUGAUCCAUUUUUUGGGUUUUUUUUUCACAUUUUGGGGUGUCCCCAAAUUUGGGAGGGGGGGGGUGUCAAAUUUAGGGGGGGGUCACCCCAAAUUUGGGGGGUGGGGGGGUUGAAAUCGAGGAGAAAACCCCAAAAAUUCAAUAUUUU
Long non-coding RNA from Taeniopygia guttata (zebra finch), 4389 nucleotides. The record is from Ensembl. NCBI's taxonomy places the organism in Eukaryota, Metazoa, Chordata, Aves, Passeriformes, Estrildidae.